UACGGAGGGGGCGAGCGUUAUUCGGAAUCAUUGGGCGUAAAGGGCGCGUAGGCGGCCCCGUAAGUCUUGGGUGAAAGCCCUCGGCUCAACCGAGGAAUUGCCUUGGAUACUGCGGGGCUCGAGGCUGGAAGAGGGUAGCGGAAUUCCCGGUGUAGCGGUGAAAUGCGUAGAUAUUGGGAGGAACACCAGUGGCGAAGGCGGCUACCUGGACCGGUUCUGACGCUGAUGCGCGAAAGCGUGGGUAGCAAACAGG
This 253-nucleotide ribosomal RNA is filed under the name uncultured bacterium. RNAcentral describes it as "partial 16S ribosomal RNA". It matches the Rfam family "Bacterial small subunit ribosomal RNA", at positions 524 to 776 of the family's 1533-position model. The record is from RNAcentral.